CGGGUUCGAUUCUCGCUACCCGCUUCUAUUUUAUUCUAUUUCAAUCUAUUUUUUUUCUUCUAGAAUGAAUCUAGAAUUCUUAAAGAAUUUGUUAAUUCUUCAUUUUCAUUUAUUAGUUUAGUUUUAGUUAUAUAUAUAUUCAAUUAUAUUUAAUUGAUUUAUCUUUUUUCUUUUAUUCUAAUUAUUUGAUUGACUUUUAUAAUUUCU
Molecule: long non-coding RNA, 207 nt
Filed under: Vigna radiata
Lineage: Eukaryota; Viridiplantae; Streptophyta; Magnoliopsida; Fabales; Fabaceae
Description: long non-coding RNA (VRAD_LNC009637)
Source: RNAcentral